Peromyscus leucopus (white-footed mouse) is the source of this 1769-nucleotide long non-coding RNA. RefSeq lists it as uncharacterized. Lineage: Eukaryota; Metazoa; Chordata; Mammalia; Rodentia; Cricetidae. The transcript is spliced from 3 exons. The record is from RefSeq and is a predicted model, not a curated record.
ACUGCCUCUUGAGGCAGUCGAUAGUGCCGGGUGCUAAGGAGCUUGACUAAGAACUGCAGUAUUCCUGACAUCUGAAGAACAUAGUACUCUAAGUAAGGCAGACUUGUCUGGCCUGAAGCUUUAUUCUCAGGAUUAGCUGACCAGAUCAGAUGUAGAGAUGACUACUAAGGCCAUUGCCCAUGGACAACAAACCAAGAUAUGUCAUCUUCCACUCUUGUGCUUAAGUAUUAACAGAAGCAAAUCAAGAAAAAGAGAACGUGUUGAGAUUGUUUGAAUCAAAGUGAUAAUCAUAUUGAUUUGGUGUGAUGAAAAUCAAAUUGGAAGAGGCUAGAAAUCCUAGACACAUAGAGCCCUAAAAAUAUGAUAUGGCAAAUGAACCAUGACUGAUAAACUUAGCCUCAUUUCGUUCUUAUAGAUUUUCUGCAGCUGGAGAACACAAGGGAGUGAGUUCAUCUCUGGCAAAGAAGAACCAAGCUCACUCUUAAAGGUGCUUUACAUGGUGAAUAAUGAUUUAAAAACCAGACACUGCCUUUUUUUAGUAGCUGGGACAUUGGAAGCAGAGAUUAAGCACAGGGCGAUGAGCUGGGUGGAGAGGAUAUAUCUUUCUUGAAUAGUAAUUCAGAUUUAUAUUCCCUUUGUUAGCAUUCAGGUUUGACCUCCACCAAGCUCUGUGUAAUAAAGUAGUAGGACAACAUAAGGAAAUGUCCUUUCUGGCACCAGUAUAAUAUAGAGGCCUCGUGACCUUUCCCUUCAAACCAACUUGGUCAUGAAACUGGAAAGCAUGAGAAGUUGUUCUCAUCUGAAAGUGACUCCUAUUUUGGAAUAGGUAUGGAUGUAUAUGGAAUCUAGGCAUGCUGGUUUUUAUUCAGUCCUCAGUCAGAUGUGUUUCAGAUGCAAUCACUCUAGCAUUUUAUUCUCUCUGUUUAACCCUUCCCUUCCUGCUCAUCUAUCUAGGGAAGGGGUGCUAUUUUUUUUAAUCCCCAAACAUAUGAGGUUUUAUUUUUAUGGGCUCUUGUUUCUCUAGAUUAGUAUCAGUUAUAGAAAAUGUCAAACCUAUUGGAGUUCCUGGAGGUGGCAGGGGAGUUCUAAGUCUCACAAAUGUCACCUGCACUGUUAUCUCAGCUUCUGUUCUCCAUUGCGUGCCAACAGUAUUCUAUGUUACUGUCACUCAGACUUAAUCUUCAUUUCGACAUUGUCUCUCCUUAGUGAUGCUGUGGAGAUGGGAGAGAAGAUGAGGAUCUUCUGAAAUGUUAUCUGCUUUCUCUGUGUAGGAAAUGGCAGUUUUUGGAGUUUUGCUGAUUUUCAGGCAUUUCAUGUUCUAGAGAUUAUGCAAAAGGGAAAACACAGGUAUCCUGUACCAUUGCUACCCACCAUAUCUAUCAGAAACUCAAAGCAACGAGUGUCCUUAAUCUUAGACUGGAGCAUCAAGAGCUGUGAAGUCUCAUCUUGUCCAUCUCUCAUUUUGCUUCCUGACUUCUGUAAGGUGAGCAGACCUCCUUCAUCACAGGUGCAUUCCAUGUAAACUCUACUGCCAUACGUGCAAAACAAUGAGCCAAACAAUCAUGGACUGAAACCUCUGAGUCUAUUAGCCAAAGUAAAUUUUUUCAUAUCAUAGCUUGCUUAUCUCAAGUUGUCUUUUACAGUGACAUAAAAGAAAGGGGUUGAUCACAAUUUCCAAGUUUUUUUUUUCCAGAUGCUCACACGAAUGUGCUCUUAAGCAUGUAUGAUUUUUAUGCCAGUGAAGUCACAUCUGCAGAGCUCCAUCUUGU